AGGAAGUGACCAAGUGGCAGGUAGAG
RNAcentral lists this non-coding RNA (26 nucleotides) under Mus musculus (house mouse). Lineage: Eukaryota; Metazoa; Chordata; Mammalia; Rodentia; Muridae. The record is from RNAcentral.